Non-coding RNA from Pelobates cultripes (western spadefoot toad), 202 nucleotides. NCBI's taxonomy places the organism in Eukaryota, Metazoa, Chordata, Amphibia, Anura, Pelobatidae. The record is from the annotation of a GenBank genome assembly.
AAAAAAAAAAAAAAAACAGUUUGAAGCACCUCCACUUUUGCAAAAAACUAAGAAAAAAAUUCCCUCUUGACCCCAGAAUGGCAGUCAGAUUAAUCCUUGGAUCAAGAAGUUAUUACCUUACAGCUGAAAUAUUAUAUCAUUGAAUAUUCUGUUUUUGCAAGUAUGUAUCUACAGAAAUAAAGCAAUAAAGAUAAUAAAGGAG